Molecule: unclassified non-coding RNA, 253 nt
Filed under: uncultured Salinisphaerales bacterium
Lineage: Bacteria; Pseudomonadati; Pseudomonadota; Gammaproteobacteria; Salinisphaerales
Description: contains 16S-23S intergenic spacer region
Rfam family: Bacterial small subunit ribosomal RNA
Source: RNAcentral
UACAGAGGGCGCGAGCGUUAAUCGGAUUUACUGGGCGUAAAGCGUGCGUAGGAGGCUUGUUAAGUCGGAUGUAAAAGCCCCGGGCUCAACCUGGGAAUAGCAUUCGAUACUGGCAGGCUAGAGUUCGGUAGAGGGUGGCGGAAUUUCCGGUGUAGCGGUGAAAUGCGUAGAUAUCGGAAGGAACACCAAUGGCGAAGGCAGCCACCUGGGCCUGAACUGACUCUGAGGCACGAAAGCGUGGGGAGCAAACAGG